GCAUCGAAGGCAAUCGCUGGUCGUAAGAUUAGAGGAAAGUCCAUGCUCGCACCUUCUGCGAUGAAGGUAGUGUUUAUGCUAAAUGAAAAAAUAAAUUUAGGCAGGCAACUGACGGCAGAGUCAAUCCUAAGGCGCAAGCUAUGGAAGCGCUCUUGAAAGUGCCACAGUGACGGAGUCUUUCGGGAAACGGAAAGAGUGGAACGCGGUAAACCCCAUAAGCGAGAAACCCAAAUUUGGUAGGGGAACUUCAAAGACCGAAUUGAAGGUCGAUGAGGACAGCAAUGUAGAUAGAUGGUUGCCCCUGGAAACAGGACAGAACAUGGCUUACACGA
Molecule: RNase P RNA, 332 nt
Filed under: Erysipelotrichaceae bacterium
Lineage: Bacteria; Bacillati; Bacillota; Erysipelotrichia; Erysipelotrichales; Erysipelotrichaceae
Description: RNase P RNA component class B
Rfam family: Bacterial RNase P class B
About the family: Ribonuclease P (RNase P) is a ubiquitous endoribonuclease, found in archaea, bacteria and eukarya as well as chloroplasts and mitochondria.
Source: RNAcentral